Molecule: ribosomal RNA, 253 nt
Filed under: uncultured bacterium
Lineage: Bacteria
Description: partial 16S ribosomal RNA
Rfam family: Bacterial small subunit ribosomal RNA
Source: RNAcentral
UACGUAGGGUGCAGGCGUUAAUCGGAAUUACUGGGCGUAAAGCGUGCGCAGGCGGUUUCUUAAGUCAGAUGUGAAAGCCCCGGGCUUAACCUGGGAACUGCGUUUGAAACUGGGAGACUUGAGUGUGGCAGAGGGGGGUGGAAUUCCACGUGUAGCAGUGAAAUGCGUAGAUAUGUGGAGGAACACCAAUGGCGAAGGCAGCCCCCUGGGUCAACACUGACGCUCAUGCACGAAAGCGUGGGGAGCAAACGGG